GACGAACGCUGGCGGCGUGCUUAACACAUGCAAGUCGAACGGUAAGGCCCUUCGGGGUACACGAGUGGCGAACGGGUGAGUAACACGUGGGUGAUCUGCCCUGCACUUCGGGAUAAGCCUGGGAAACUGGGUCUAAUACCGGAUAGGACCACUGCCUGCAUGGGUGGUGGUGGAAAGCUUUUGCGGUGUGGGAUGGGCCCGCGGCCUAUCAGCCUGUUGGUGGGGUGAUGGCCUACCAAGGCGACGACGGGUAGCCGGCCUGAGAGGGUGACCGGCCACACUGGGACUGAGAUACUGCCCAGACUCCUACGGGAGGCAGCAGUGGGGAAUAUUGCGCAAUGGGCGCAAGCCUGAUGCAGCGACGCCGCGUGAGGGAUGACGGCCUUCGGGUUGUAAACCUCUUUCAGCACCGACGAAGCGCAAGUGACGGUAGGUGCAGAAGAAGGACCGGCCAACUACGUGCCAGCCGCCGCGGUAA
Molecule: ribosomal RNA, 478 nt
Filed under: uncultured bacterium
Lineage: Bacteria
Description: partial 16S ribosomal RNA
Rfam family: Bacterial small subunit ribosomal RNA
Source: RNAcentral